Molecule: ribosomal RNA, 789 nt
Filed under: uncultured archaeon
Lineage: Archaea
Description: bacterial SSU rRNA
Rfam family: Archaeal small subunit ribosomal RNA
Source: RNAcentral
ACGGCUCAGUAACACGUAGUCAACCUAACCUAUGGACGUGGAUAACCUCGGGAAACUGAGAAUAAACCGCGAUAGAUCAUUAUGCCUGGAAUGGCUUAUGGUUCAAACAAUUUAUUGCCGUAGGAUGGGACUGCGGCCUAUCAGCUUGUUGGUGAGGUAAUGGCCCACCAAGGCUAUAACAGGUACGGGCUCUGAGAGGAGAAGCCCGGAGAUGGGUACUGAGACACGGACCCAGGCCCUAUGGGGCGCAGCAGGCGAGAAACCUUAGCAAUGUGCGAAAGCACGACUAGGUUAAUCCGAGUGAUUUCUGUUGAAGAAAUCUUUUGUCAGUCGUAAAACCACAGAUGAAUAAGGGGUGGGCAAGUCUGGUGUCAGCCGCCGCGGUAAUACCAGCACCUCGAGUGGUCAGGAGGUUUAUUGGGCCUAAAGCAUCCGUAGCCGGCUAUGCAAGUCUCCGGUUAAAUCCAGCUGCUCAACAGAUGGGCUGCCGGAGAUACUACAUGGCUAGGGAGCGGGAGAGGUAGACGGUAUUCGGUGGGUAGGGGUAAAAUCCACUGAUCCAUCGAGGACCACCAGUGGCGAAGGCGGUCUACCAGAACGCGUUCGACGGUGAGGGAUGAAAGCUGGGGGAGCAAACCGGAUUAGAUACCCGGGUAGUCCCAGCUGUAAACGAUGCAAACUCGGUGAUGCAUUGGCUUAUGGCCAAUGCAGUGCCGCAGGGAAGCCGUUAAGUUUGCCGCCUGGGAAGUACGGACGCAAGUCUGAAACUUAAAGGAAUUGGCGGGGGAG